UUAGGAAUAAUUAUUAUUAAAAUAAUAAAAAAAAUAUUUUUAAGUUUUAUUAUAAUUAUAAGAAAUAAUUUAUAUGAAUAAUAGUAAAUUAGUAUAGUUAUAGAAUUUAAGUAAUAAUUAGUUAAGAAAAAUUUAUUUUUUGUACCUUGGGUAUCAGGGUUUAUUAAUUUAAGUUUACUUAUGUGAAAUUCUCGAUUUUAAAAGAGCGAAUUAUUUAUAUAUAUUAUUGUAAAAUAAAUAUUUAAAAUAAAUAAUUAGUAAUGAAACGUUAUUCGUUUUUAAAUAUAUCUAGUUUUUAAAGAAAAAAAUUGAAUUUUAUUUAUAUAAAUAAUUUGGUUUAAAUUUUAAAAUUAAAUUUUUAUAUAAUUUAUUUUAUAAGGGAUAAGCUUUAUAAAAAAUUUCUAAAAGAUUUUAAAAUUUAUGUUUAAAUUGUAGGAUUAGAAAUUUUCUUCAUAUAAUUUGUUAUAAUUAAUUAAAUUUUAAUAAAAAUUUAUAUUUUCUUUAGGUUUUUUAUUUAAAUAUUAAAUUUAAUUUUAAAAUUUAAGUAAUAAUGAUAAAAUUAGUAUAAUUUUAUGUAUAAAAUAUUUAAAUUAUUUAGGUUAUAAAAAGGAAUUCGGCAAAUAUAUUUUUCGCCUGUUUAAUAAAAACAUGUCUUUUUGAUUUUAAUUUAAAGUCUGGCCUGCCCACUGAAGAUUUAAAUGGCCGCAGUAUUUUGACUGUGCAAAGGUAGCAUAAUCAUUAGUUUUUUAAUUAAGAACUGGAAUGAAAGGUUGGACGAGAAAAUGGCUGUCUCUUUAUAAAUUAUUUAGAAUUUUAUUUUUAAGUUAAAAAGCUUAAAUUUAAUUAAAAGACGAGAAGACCCUAUAGAGUUUUAUAAAUUAAUAAAUAAUUGAUUUAUUUAUAAUUUUUUAGAAAUUAUUUAUAAUUUUAUUUGAUUGGGGUGAUUGAAAAAUUUAAUUAACUUUUUUUUUAUUAAAACAUUAAUAUAUGAUUUAUUGAUCCAUAUAAAUGAUUAUAAGAUUAAAUUACCUUAGGGAUAACAGCGUAAUUUCUUUUAAGAGUUCUAAUCGAUAAAGAAGUUUGCGACCUCGAUGUUGGAUUAAAAUUAAAUUUUGGUGUAGUAGCUAGAAGGUUAGGUCUGUUCGACCUUUAAAAUUUUACAUGAUCUGAGUUUAAACCGGUGUGAGCCAGGUUGGUUUCUAUCUUUAAUAAUAAUUAAUAUUUUAGUACGAAAGGACCAAAUAUUAAUAAAAUUUAUUUUUAAAUGAAUAUUAAUAAUAU
RNAcentral lists this ribosomal RNA (1281 nucleotides) under Staphylinidae sp. BMNH 1274661. Its description in RNAcentral is "16S ribosomal RNA". The stretch from base 1036 to 1194 matches the Rfam family "Archaeal large subunit ribosomal RNA", at positions 2542 to 2701 of the family's 2987-position model. Lineage: Eukaryota; Metazoa; Arthropoda; Insecta; Coleoptera; Staphylinidae. The record is from RNAcentral.